GCCGAAGUGGCGGAACUGGCAGACGCGCUACGUUCAGGGCGUAGUUCUCUUCGGGGAGUGUGGGUUCGACUCCCACCUUCGGCACCA
RNAcentral lists this transfer RNA (87 nucleotides) under Chloroflexota bacterium. RNAcentral describes it as "tRNA-Leu". It matches the Rfam family "tRNA". From Rfam's summary of the family: Transfer RNA (tRNA) molecules are approximately 80 nucleotides in length. Their secondary structure includes four short double-helical elements and three loops (D, anti-codon, and T loops). The record is from RNAcentral. Lineage: Bacteria; Bacillati; Chloroflexota.